ACGUACACUCCUGCGGGAGGCAGCAGUAGGGAAUCUUCGGCAAUGGGGGCAACCCUGACCGAGCAACGCCGCGUGAGUGAAGAAGGUUUUCGGAUCGUAAAGCUCUGUUGUAAGUCAAGAACGAGUGUGAGAGUGGAAAGUUCACACUGUGACGGUAGCUUACCAGAAAGGGACGGCUAACUACGUGCCAGCAGCCGCGGUAAUACGUAGGUCCCGAGCGUUGUCCGGAUUUAUUGGGCGUAAAGCGAGCGCAGGCGGUUUGAUAAGUCUGAAGUUAAAGGCUGUGGCUCAACCAUAGUUCGCUUUGGAAACUGUCAAACUUGAGUGCAGAAGGGGAGAGUGGAAUUCCAUGUGUAGCGGUGAAAUGCGUAGAUAUAUGGAGGAACACCGGUGGCGAAAGCGGCUCUCUGGUCUGUAACUGACGCUGAGGCUCGAAAGCGUGGGGAGCGAACAGGAUUAGAUACCCCAGUAGUCCC
This 476-nucleotide ribosomal RNA is filed under the name uncultured organism. RNAcentral's name for it is "partial 16S ribosomal RNA". It matches the Rfam family "Bacterial small subunit ribosomal RNA", at positions 329 to 797 of the family's 1533-position model. The record is from RNAcentral.